UACAGAGGGUGCAAGCGUUAAUCGGAAUUACUGGGCGUAAAGCGUGCGUAGUCGGUUAUUUAAGUCGGGCGUGAAAGCCCCGGGCUCAACCUGGGAAUUGCGUUCGAUACUGGAUAGCUAGAGUUCGGCAGGAGGGAAGCGGAAUUUCGGGUGUAGCGGUGAAAUGCGUAGAGAUGUGGAGGAACACCGGUGGCGAAGGCGGUUCUCUGGGCAUGCCUGGACGCUGAGACGCGAAAGCGUGGGGAGCAAACAGGAUC
RNAcentral lists this ribosomal RNA (257 nucleotides) under uncultured bacterium. RNAcentral describes it as "partial 16S ribosomal RNA". It matches the Rfam family "Bacterial small subunit ribosomal RNA", at positions 524 to 779 of the family's 1533-position model. The record is from RNAcentral.